CCCUACGGGAGGCAGCAGUGGGGAAUAUUGCACAAUGGGGGAAACCCUGAUGCAGCGACGCCGCGUGAGUGAAGAAGUAUUUCGGUAUGUAAAGCUCUAUCCGCAGGGAAGAAAACGACGGUACCUGACUAAGAAGCCCCGGCUAACUACGUGCCAGCAGCCGCGGUAAUACGUAGGGGGCAAGCGUUAUCCGGAUUUACUGGGUGUAAGGGGAGCGUAGACGGCCAGACAAGUCAGAAGUGAAAGCCCAGGGCUCAACUCUGGGACUGCUUUUGAAACUGUUGAACUAGAUUGCAGGAGAGGUA
RNAcentral lists this ribosomal RNA (305 nucleotides) under uncultured bacterium. RNAcentral describes it as "bacterial SSU rRNA". It matches the Rfam family "Bacterial small subunit ribosomal RNA", at positions 337 to 659 of the family's 1533-position model. The record is from RNAcentral.